ACGAACGCUGGCGGCGUGCUUAACACAUGCAAGUCGAACGGAAAGGCCCUGCUUUUGUGGGGUGCUCGAGUGGCGAACGGGUGAGUAACACGUGAGUAACCUGCCCUUGACUUUGGGAUAACUUCAGGAAACUGGGGCUAAUACCGGAUAGGAGCUCCCGCUGCAUGGUGGGGGUUGGAAAGUUUCGGCGGUUGGGGAUGGACUCGCGGCUUAUCAGCUUGUUGGUGGGGUAGUGGCUUACCAAGGCUUUGACGGGUAGCCGGCCUGAGAGGGUGACCGGCCACAUUGGGACUGAGAUACGGCCCAGACUCCUACGGGAGGCAGCAGUGGGGAAUAUUGCACAAUGGGCGGAAGCCUGAUGCAGCAACGCCGCGUGCGGGAUGACGGCCUUCGGGUUGUAAACCGCUUUCGCCUGUGACGAAGCGUGAGUGACGGUAAUGGGUAAAGAAGCACCGGCUAACUACGU
RNAcentral lists this ribosomal RNA (466 nucleotides) under uncultured bacterium. Its description in RNAcentral is "partial 16S ribosomal RNA". It matches the Rfam family "Bacterial small subunit ribosomal RNA", at positions 29 to 506 of the family's 1533-position model. The record is from RNAcentral.